CCAAAGGCUCUUUUCAGAGCCACCCACAUCCUCGGAAAAGAGUUGU
Molecule: non-coding RNA, 46 nt
Organism: Chlamydotis undulata (Houbara bustard)
Lineage: Eukaryota; Metazoa; Chordata; Aves; Otidiformes; Otididae
Source: Rfam